Molecule: transfer RNA, 65 nt
Filed under: Sapajus apella (tufted capuchin)
Lineage: Eukaryota; Metazoa; Chordata; Mammalia; Primates; Cebidae
Description: tRNA-Met
Source: RNAcentral
AGUAAGGUCAGCUAAAUAAGCUAUCGGGCCCAUACCCCGAAAAGGAUGGUCAUCCUUCCGUACUA